ACCCAUCUCCUUGAACCACUCCGG
Molecule: non-coding RNA, 24 nt
Filed under: Arabidopsis thaliana (thale cress)
Lineage: Eukaryota; Viridiplantae; Streptophyta; Magnoliopsida; Brassicales; Brassicaceae
Source: RNAcentral